RNAcentral lists this ribosomal RNA (492 nucleotides) under uncultured bacterium. RNAcentral's name for it is "partial 16S ribosomal RNA". It matches the Rfam family "Bacterial small subunit ribosomal RNA", at positions 29 to 507 of the family's 1533-position model. The record is from RNAcentral.
AGUGAACGCUGGCGGUAGGCCUAACACAUGCAAGUCGAACGGCAGCACAGUAAGAGCUUGCUCUUACGGGUGGCGAGUGGCGGACGGGUGAGGAAUACAUCGGAAUCUACUUUUUCGUGGGAGAUAACGUAGGGAAACUUACGCUAAUACCGCAUACGACCUACGGGUGAAAGCAGGGGAUCUUCGGACCUUGCGCGAUUGAAUGAGCCGAUGUCGGAUUAGCUAGUUGGCGGGGUAAAGGCCCACCAAGGCGACGAUCCGUAGCUGGUCUGAGAGGAUGAUCAGCCACACUGGAACUGAGACACGGUCCAGACUCCUACGGGAGGCAGCAGUGGGGAAUAUUGGACAAUGGGCGCAGGCCUGAUCCAGCCAUACCGCGUGGGUGAAGAAGGCCUUCGGGUUGUAAAGCCCUUUUGUUGGGAAAGAAAAGCAGCAGGUUAAUACCCCGCUGUUCUGACGGUACCCAAAGAAUAAGCACCGGCUAACUUCGUG